RNAcentral lists this ribosomal RNA (463 nucleotides) under uncultured bacterium. RNAcentral's name for it is "partial 16S ribosomal RNA". It matches the Rfam family "Bacterial small subunit ribosomal RNA", at positions 28 to 507 of the family's 1533-position model. The record is from RNAcentral.
GAUGAACGCUGACAGAAUGCUUAACACAUGCAAGUCGAUGGGGAAGUGGUGCUUGCACCAUGGCAACCAUGGCGGACGGGUGUGUAACUCGUAAGGGACUUACCUGCAGGACUGGGAUAACAGGGGGAAACUCCUGACAAGACCGGACAAUGUCAUGGAGCUGCAUGGCUUUAUGAUGUAAGGAGACGCCUGCGGAGAGCCUUUCGUCCUAUUAGCUAGUUGGUGAGGUAAUGGCUCACCAAGGCGAAGAUAGGCAGCCGGCCUGAGAGGGUGGACGGCCACAAGGGGACUGAGAUACGGCCCUUACUACUACGGGAGGCAGCAGUGGGGAAUAUUGGACAAUGGGGGCAACCCUGAUCCAGCAGUUCUGUGUGCACGAAGAAGGUUUUCGGAUUGGAUAGUGAUUUCAGCAGAGAAGGAGUAAGUGACGGUACCUGCGGAAGAAGCGACGGCUAAAUACGUG